CAUAAUCUUAAGGUCGUGAGUUCGAUACUCACCGUUCCCA
This 40-nucleotide transfer RNA is filed under the name Entamoeba moshkovskii. RNAcentral's name for it is "tRNA-Met". Lineage: Eukaryota; Evosea; Mastigamoebida; Endamoebidae. The record is from RNAcentral.